This is a long non-coding RNA of Acinonyx jubatus (cheetah), 2051 nucleotides long. RefSeq lists it as uncharacterized. The record is from RefSeq and is a predicted model, not a curated record. NCBI's taxonomy places the organism in Eukaryota, Metazoa, Chordata, Mammalia, Carnivora, Felidae. The transcript has 3 exons.
CAGACAGUGUACAAUAGAAGAAUAUUCAGCUCUUGCACCACUUGGGGGAAGGUAACGACUUUGAACCUUUCACUUCCAUUUUCCGGAGGGAAUCUAGAAAGAACCUAGCAUGGGUGAGGCGUCACAUUGGGACGCCAUCUAAUGUACAUGCCUGUCUCCCUCCAGUCCUGGCAGGGCUCUAGGGGUCCAGGAUCGGCCAGUCUGCAGCAGAGGUGAGAGAGUGAUCACAGCGGGUAGAGGCCGUCAAGCCAGGUGGGCGCCCUGGACUCCAGGGCUCCUGCAGCAGGGAGGACCGCAGGGGGCGCUGCGCGUGGCAAGUGCAGGCACCUGCGAUAAGACCCCGCGUGCGGACGAGAUACUCCGCCCUGCGGCGGGAGGGAGGGAGGGACGGCUGGUGAGCGUUGGCCUUCGGCCUUCGUCUCCUAACGCCCCGGGGCGAGGCUGGACUUUCCACAGUUAGCUGGACGAGGGGAGUCUUGAGAAAUGGCGUUUUGUUGUAAUCGGGUGUGUGCCACUCCCCGGCCCUGAACCGAAUGUGCAAGAAAGAUUGGAGGUUGUGAAAUCCAAAUCGGAAGACGCUGCCUCACUGCGGAUACUGUGCCGGCCUUAUCUGUCUGUCCUCCCAGCAUGGUUAAAGACCCUUAGACAGGAACCAAGAUGCUUAGUAGACGAUUGCUGCCAGAUUUGACCUGGGAAGACCCACAGGCAAUGCUUCCUAACAAAGAAUGGCUCUGAUGAACUCUUCAGCUCUGGGCCAUUCCGAAUCCCAAGAGGAACGUGUCCCAUUUCCUUGUACUAGCCGCUUGUAGAUAAGCUAAAAGGCUCUAAAGUCACAGAAUCAAACUAUAAGGAUAUUCCUUCAGCAUCACUGUCAAGAGUAUACUCAGACAUACAACCACCUUGCAUGUUCACACAGACACACACUUGUUAUUCUCUACGUACUCUAUAUCAGAAGCCAUUCUGGGUGCUGUGGGACCCCACGAUGAAUAAAACAAUGUAGUCUUGCCCUCAAGCAGCUCUCGGUUUGAGUUUUUUUUGCAAAAAUGUAGUAUUUUAAGCCAUCACUGAUUCACAAUGGAAGUAGGCACUAAUUCCAACCGAAGGUUUAGAGAUGAGAUGGAGGGACGGAACACCAGAGGUGUGAGUGGGCAGGAGACAGGACCACUGAAAGGGUGGGAAAAGGAAACUGUGGCAUAACCCUGGCCUUGCAGUCAGAGACUCAGAGUCCAGAUCUUCCAAUGACCAGCAAGUGCACACAACUACAUUUUUUGUAGUUAGUAUAUAUUUUAUGAUUAAUAUUUUUUAAUUACCCCCCAAAAAUCCUUAGUUCUCUUUUUCAAAAUCAAAUGAGAACAUGGAUGAAAGUAUACAGCCAGAGCUUAUACUAGUAGCUUAGCUAGUAUACUAGUUUUUAAAAACGUAGUAUCCCCUUUAUGAAUGCUCAAUACAAUUUUGGUAUUAUACUUUACAUUAAUACACAUUUUGUUAAUGAAGUUUUGGUCAUAACGCUGAGGGACAGAUUGUAAAGCAGCGGGGUUAAAAAAAACAGUGAAACUUUCAAGUCAGCUUUUUAAAGUCAAAUUAGGGUUCUAGCUCUUGACAGCCAGCUAGCUUACCUUAAAGAAGUUCUUUUAUCAUGGUAAAUUUUCAGAGUCGUAAAGACGAAAUGUUAGGGAGAUAAAGCCCUCACGAUAGUGAUUGACACUCCUCGAAUAUUAACUUCGCUCUUCAUGACCCCCAGCUGUACUGGCCCCUCGAGUUGUGGCUGCUCCACACGCAAGCUGGGUGCUCCUUGAGCCCCUGUGCUCUUCUCCAGCGGUGAGGCAGGGAGGAGACGUUAACUCUCCUGCCCCCUGGUGGCUGAACACGGCCUGCAGCAUCAGUACAGCUCAAACCACACUCCCUCCUGGGGGCUCCGACCUGAGAGCACAGCAGACACCGACACUGUCUGGGCUGCUGGUGACAGCCCUGGUGCCUGUGGCAGAGCCUGGGCAGUGUUGUGGCACUCUGGUCCCCCAGCAACAUCUCAUCAAGCCUGUGAGCUGCACACA